Molecule: long non-coding RNA, 652 nt
Organism: Clupea harengus (Atlantic herring)
Lineage: Eukaryota; Metazoa; Chordata; Actinopteri; Clupeiformes; Clupeidae
Source: Ensembl
GCCUCACUUUCCCACGGGGUACACGGCGCACAUUUGCGUACCAGCCGCAGCCACGCUCAUGCCUUUGAGUUCCCGUCUGCUCGUAUUCGAGGUGGCAUCUCGUCACGCAGAUGUUGCCUUGGCUGUGUGUGGCCAGCCAAACCCCGGCACACAGGGCGGCAGGCCAGUUGUUUUCGAAACGAGUCGUGGAGGAAGCUGAGCCCAGUCAAGAGUGGGGGGCGCACCGCAAAAAAUUUGCACACAAGUUAAAAACACAUUUUUCUGGCAGUGUAAAUCUCGGGCAGGCUAAUUAAGCCGCGGCGGUUGGCAUGGAAUGGAACGCACGAGCGUUCGGGAGAGAAGCUUACGGGUAUGGGGCGGGUCACACGUGCCAACACCUAGCCACCAGCAGUGUCUCGGACACACGGGGGAAACGAUCAGCAAGCAUGCACAAUAUGAGGAACCUCUCCAUGCAAAAUGUCUUGCAGUCUUUACCUGGUCAAGCGGAGUUCAUGAACAGGGGAGGCCCAUAACAUCCAUCGCUGCUGUGGUCCUGAAAGUUCUGAAGUGGCCGGCUGUAGAGUCUCAUUAACGUGCCACAGGUGUUAAUUGGCAGGCGUUCGGUGUGAAAGCUGCGGUAUGGACACUACCAACUCAUAGGACCAGAGUGACA